Saccostrea cuccullata (small rock oyster) is the source of this 967-nucleotide long non-coding RNA. RefSeq lists it as uncharacterized. The transcript is spliced from 4 exons. The record is from RefSeq and is a predicted model, not a curated record. Lineage: Eukaryota; Metazoa; Mollusca; Bivalvia; Ostreida; Ostreidae.
AAAACUGCCUGGCAAGAUUAAAAGCUUGGAAUGGAGAAUUGGGCAUCAACUUUCAUCACCGAUUUAACAGUGUUUUUAAUGAGGUAUGAGACAGAGAAAGAGGGCAAAGAAACAUUUGAACCGGUAUAAAGUUGGGAAGGGCACCAGUACUUCCAGAGCCAGUGACUGUCACUGAAAGAAGUGUUUUACCACCCUAUUGACAGAACCAGUCCAUAUUGCUUUCUGUGUGCCGCAUGUACCCCUCACAGAGCCUGUGUUCUGAGCCUCAUACAGUGUUUGGACAAACAUGUACCAAUCAUAUUGCAGGAUUAAGGAUAGUGAGGAGGACAACUUUUAAGCAACCUAUUCAGAUGCAUUUAGAGAAACCUUACCCGAUGCUUGUUUAUUUAAAGGUCUAGAUGUUGAUCCACCUCACAAAGCCAAGGGUAAGGAAUCACAUGCUUCUGGAGCAGAUAUGAUUGAGGAGGAUUGCUUACAGAUUGACGUCCAACAAUACUACAUGAAAUCUAUGUUGUCAUCAUUUGAACAGUCUGACACUAGCAUCAAGAUCCAUCCCUUUACCAUUAUAUAAGUAACAGUACUAAAGGUUAAUCUUCAAAUAGUUGGAGUCUACAUUUUUUAUUGUGGUUAAUAUGCAUAUUUACCUGUGAAUUUUCCAUUUUUGGGCUAUAUAUGUUUUAUUUUUACAUAAUAUUUGUCUCAAAUAAACUGCUAUUAAUAUACCUGUAUUUUACUGAAAUUAAGUAACAAAGGGUUGCCUUUAUAAACAGUAUCACACAAGUUUGUAAUAGAUUGACUGUUAAUUUAAAAAAAAUACACAUUCUCAGGUCGAAUGUCUGAUUUCACAAUCUUCUUACAUGGGUCUGAUUGGCGAUAUUUCAAACUGAAUUUGAGGAAAAAGAUUAUUUGUAAUAUUUAGUGUGUAGUACCUUUAGACAUAAGUACCAUAAAAUGUGAACUUUCUGAG